This 1404-nucleotide ribosomal RNA is filed under the name Flavobacteriales bacterium UBA3891. RNAcentral describes it as "bacterial SSU rRNA". It matches the Rfam family "Bacterial small subunit ribosomal RNA". Lineage: Bacteria; Pseudomonadati; Bacteroidota; Flavobacteriia; Flavobacteriales. The record is from RNAcentral.
NNNNNNNNNNNNNUAACACAUGCAAGCCGAGCGGUAUUUGUUCUUCGGAACAGAGAGAGCGGCGCACGGGUGCGGAACACGUGUGCAACCUGCCUUUAUCUGGGGGAUAGCCUUUCGAAAGGAAGAUUAAUACCCCAUAAUAUAUUGAGUGGCAUCACUUAAUAUUGAAAACUCCGGUGGAUAGAGAUGGGCACGCGCAAGAUUAGAUAGUUGGUGAGGUAACGGCUCNNGACUCCUACGGGAGGCAGCAGUGAGGAAUAUUGGACAAUGGGUUAGCGCCUGAUCCAGCCAUCCCGCGUGAAGGACGACGGCCCUAUGGGUUGUAAACUUCUUUUGUAUAGGGAUAAACCUACUCUCGUGAGAGUAGCUGAAGGUACUAUACGAAUAAGCACCGGCUAACUCCGUGCCAGCAGCCGCGGUAAUACGGAGGGUGCAAGCGUUAUCCGGAUUUAUUGGGUUUAAAGGGUCCGUAGGCGGAUCUGUAAGUCAGUGGUGAAAUCUCACAGCUUAACUGUGAAACUGCCAUUGAUACUGCAGGUCUUGAGUAAAUUUGAAGUGGCUGGAAUAAGUAGUGUAGCGGUGAAAUGCAUAGAUAUUACUUAGAACACCAAUUGCGAAGGCAGGUCACUAAGAUUUAACUGACGCUGAUGGACGAAAGCGUGGGGAGCGAACAGGAUUAGAUACCCUGGUAGUCCACGCCGUAAACGAUGCUAACUCGUUUUUGGGGUUUCGGCUUCAGAGACUAAGCGAAAGUGAUAAGUUAGCCACCUGGGGAGUACGUUCGCAAGAAUGAAACUCAAAGGAAUUGACGGGGGCCCGCACAAGCGGUGGAUUAUGUGGUUUAAUUCGAUGAUACGCGAGGAACCUUACCAAGACUUAAAUGGGAAAUGACAGAUUUAGAAAUAGAUCCUUCUUCGGACAUUUUUCAAGGUGCUGCAUGGUUGUCGUCAGCUCGUGCCGUGAGGUGUUAGGUUAAGUCCUGCAACGAGCGCAACCCCUGUCACUAGUUGCUAGCAUUAAGUUGAGGACUCUAGUGAGACUGCCUACGCAAGUAGAGAGGAAGGUGGGGAUGACGUCAAAUCAUCACGGCCCUUACGUCUUGGGCCACACACGUAAUACAAUGGCCGGUACAGAGGGCAGCUACACAGCGAUGUGAUGCAAAUCUCGAAAGCCGGUCUCAGUUCGGAUUGGAGUCUGCAACUCGACUCUAUGAAGCUGGAAUCGCUAGUAAUCGCGCAUCAGCCAUGGCGCGGUGAAUACGUUCCCGGGCCUUGUACACACCGCCCGUCAAGCCAUGGAAGUCUGGGGUACCUGAAGUCGGUGACCGUAAAAGGAGCUGCCUAGGGUAAAACAGGUAACUAGGGCUAAGUCGUAACAAGGUAGCCGUACCGGAAGGUGCGGCUG